This 253-nucleotide ribosomal RNA is filed under the name uncultured bacterium. Its description in RNAcentral is "partial 16S ribosomal RNA". It matches the Rfam family "Bacterial small subunit ribosomal RNA", at positions 524 to 776 of the family's 1533-position model. The record is from RNAcentral.
UACAGAGGUGGCAAGCGUUGUUCGGAAUUACUGGGCGUAAAGCGCGCGCAGGUGGUUUCUUAAGUCUGAUGUGAGAGCCCACGGCUCAACCGUGGAGGGUCAUUGGAAACUGGGGAACUUGAGUGCAGAAGAGGAAAGUGGAAUUCCAAGUGUAGCGGUGAAAUGCGUAGAGAUUUGGAGGAACACCAGUGGCGAAGGCGACUUUCUGGUCUGUAACUGACACUGAGGCGCGAAAGCGUGGGGAGCGAACAGG